Molecule: transfer RNA, 146 nt
Filed under: Piscinibacter sp.
Lineage: Bacteria; Pseudomonadati; Pseudomonadota; Betaproteobacteria; Burkholderiales; Sphaerotilaceae
Description: tRNA-Tyr
Source: RNAcentral
GGGUGCGUGGCAGAGAGGCCGAUUGCGGCUGCCUGUAAAGCAGGCUCCCACGAGGACACGGUGGUUCGCUCAGCGCGCAGCGCUGGACGCGGCGCCAGCCGCGGGCCGCAGGCCGAGCGCAGCGAGCAAUCCAUCCGCACCCACCA